Non-coding RNA from Cyanistes caeruleus (blue tit), 645 nucleotides. The record is from RefSeq and is a predicted model, not a curated record. NCBI's taxonomy places the organism in Eukaryota, Metazoa, Chordata, Aves, Passeriformes, Paridae.
CAAGGCUGGCCAGCUCCAGGCUCCCCUCUGCCUGCUUCUCUCCAAAGGUGGUGCAGCAGAGGCCUCCUGCCGCAGCCUCAUCAGGAGGCUCAUCUGGUUUUGGAACAGCUGGUGCUGGGCCAAACACCGGCAGAGUCGUGGUGCAGGGCCCUGGGCUGGUGCCUCUUGGUGCUGCCAGCUCAGCCUUCUUCCAGAGCUUUCUCCGAGGGGUGGCGGGCAGGCUUUUUGCUGCACGGUGCAUUGCCUGCAGGAGCUGACGGAGAGCCAAACCCAGCAUAAACACAAUGUGCUCCAGUGUGACAGAAACGCGAUGCCAGUAAAGUCUGCACAUCCAGGUGACCCGACAGUGCAGGGAGCAAUUUCAACAGGCAACUGAAAUGAGCCAUUCUUUUGCCUGGCUUUGCUUGGUACACACAGAGACAUCAACCUGCCCCCACCGAGCCUCUCAUCUUCCCACCACAUAGAAAUAGCUGCUGCGUUUUGUCUCCUCCUGCAAUUCCCCUGGGCCUAAUUCUUCGCUCUUCUGUCUCCCCAGUCCUUCAAUCCAGUGAACACUGCCUUGUACCACUGAAAUACUGUAGAAGUCUCAUCCUGGCCACAAAGAGAAGGCAGUGACCAGGAGUGAAAGUCUGUGUCUGGUGGCCA